RNAcentral lists this ribosomal RNA (588 nucleotides) under Triticum aestivum (bread wheat). Its description in RNAcentral is "partial small subunit ribosomal RNA". The record is from RNAcentral. Lineage: Eukaryota; Viridiplantae; Streptophyta; Magnoliopsida; Poales; Poaceae.
AUGAAGCCUACCAAAUGGCUAUCAAACGGUGUUGUCGAAGCUGCACUUAUCCAAAUCAGGGAAACCUUACCUAAGGACUCGAAGAAGGUCAUCAUGCCACUCAGGGUUGCUACACGCUUGCAGCAAGGAAUAUACAAUGCUGCCGAGAUACAUUCUAAAUUUGAGAAGACUAAUCACCUAGACUGUCAAGAUAUGGUGAUGCUCCCUGUGCUUGAGUUUGCUGAUCCCAAUGAUCGAGAAGGAGGCAGACACUACUGGGUGUUUAACAUCAACUUAAGGGAUCAACGUUUUGAGGUGCUAGAUUCUUGGAGGAAGCUCGACAACCCUGACUUAAUGCACUAUGCUUUAACUAUGGCGGGAGCAGUGAGGUGUUUAUGGAAGCAGCAUUACCCAGAGCACAAUAUCAUUCACUUUCAAGUCGUCGACAUUGAUGUACCCAAGCAACUCGGGAACAUUUCGAAUGGGAGACAAUUGCCAAACUACGAACCAAAAGAGUGCCUAAGCAUGAGAAGGAUAAUGACCCACAAGAUGGUUGACUUUGCUCUCAACAAAGCCCCGUGGAGGGAAAUUCUACGGUACAAAGAGUAA